This 4897-nucleotide long non-coding RNA is filed under the name Fragaria vesca (wild strawberry). RNAcentral's name for it is "long non-coding RNA (FVES_LNC001350)". The record is from RNAcentral. Lineage: Eukaryota; Viridiplantae; Streptophyta; Magnoliopsida; Rosales; Rosaceae.
UGGGUUUUCCAUCCUGCCUGAUAGACCAAUGGCCAAUGAUGAAUCUGGUGGAAGUCUGCUGACUCUCGCUUUGCACAUCACAGAAGAAGGAGCAACUGAGGACUUUAUCCCUCCUCGUACUGUUCAAAAUAUACUCAACAUUAUUGCAGGAACUGUAGUCCAGAUCACUGAUGUACUAUCAAAUAAUGGAGAAAAUAGUGUUGAACCAGAGCAGUGAGUCAAGUUCCUUACUUCUGAGAUGAACCUGUGUUGUAAUUAAGAUUCAUUAGGUCUGCAGGAGGAAUAUAAUGACUUUUCAAUAGUGUAUGUGAUAUCCAAAUAAAUUAGUGUGUGUGAUGAUGUGAACGCUGACACUAAACUUGUACUACAUAACUAAUCUAACAAGGUCCUCAAAAUGAAAGUUAUUGCGUUAUUGUCUUGCUCAAGAGCUCAAGUUUUACAAAUGAAAAAAAAAAAAAAAAAAAAAGUUUUAACAAAUGGAAAGACUAUAGAGUUCUUAUAAAGUCACUAGGAAGAAAAGUUAAAGAAAAUGCACCAAGAUAAAUGUAAAAACUUGAAGAAUCAAUCACAACCAUAAUAGAACACAAACCUCUGGUAAAUCAUAGAUCCGAUCAUUAAGUUGGAGUAGUAAUUUAACCCCACGAUAGAACUAUCUUUCUUCUCGUCUUCGUCUUCAGGUGGGGGAGAAAUCUUAACCAUAUUUCUCUAAAAGCACCAGUCUCACUAUAAUUGACUAAUUGGAGAAGGAAAACAAGUGAUCUAAUCAAAUAAUUGGUGUAGGAGCGAUAAGAAUGAGAAACGAUAUACAUGACUAGUUUGCAGACAUAUCAAAUAAACCGCUCUUCAUGAGCAUUAUUUAUAGUUGAAAUAGAGGGUUCUCGAACGGUGUAUAGAAAAAAAAAGAUUGGCAGUUUCAUCGGCGAAAAUUUGGAAGACAUGCAAUGGCUGGUUUUGUAGCUUUUAGCUUAGUUAAUCAUAUAUUAAAGGAGAAAUAGAAGCAAUAGCUUAGAUAAGUGCCAACUAGCAUUUCCUGUAAUGAACAUGACAUCUCUUUCCAACAAACUGAACAAAGUAUUAGUAGAGGUUUCAAAUUUCGAAUAUUCCUCAUCCAAAGUUCUUUACUUACUUAAUAUAUAACCUUUUAAUUAGAUAAGUUUUUCUCGUUAAUUUUUUCUUUGCAUCUUUCUUUAUCUAUCGAAGAAAACAAAACAAAGCAAAACUUUGAAAGGAGUCAUCCUGCGGCAUAGUUCCAAAACUCCCAAUAAAGACCAACCGCCCUAAAUAGUACUCUUCUACCGCAUGAAGGGGCUCUUCAUUAAAGACUUCACGAUAUGAACGAGCUAGGGAAUAAAAACCGGUACCGGUAGGGAAGUCGACAAUGAGGGAAAUAUGGAUCCAGAACCACGUUGCUGCAUGCAUGGAAGAGAUGAUGAACAAGACCAGACUAGCUGGCAUGGCUUCUUCUUGAAUGUUCAUGCAAAGACAAACCCAGAGUGAAACGGAUGCUCAAAUUAAGCUCAUGAGUUGGGUAUUCCUAAUUUCCAGAGUCUAUAACUGAUUUUGUAUGUAUAUCACAGAAGGAAAGAAAAUUCUAUGUGGUGAUUUUGCUGGCUAUUGUCCAGAUAUCUCACCCUCUUGUGGUGCUUUUACCGGCUUUUGUCCAUAUAUUACACCCUCUUGUGGUGAUUGUCCUGGCUAUGUCCAGAUCUAGAUGGCCAUGCUCCUCCUUUUACUUUGUUCUUUUUUCUUGUCAAAAACUUGUGAAAUUUUCCAGACCUGAGAUUAUCAUCCCCCAUCACCCGUCCCACCUAAUAUCUCAUACUGGGAAAUUAUUAUUUGUACCCGGAACACCACCUAUCUUAUGUUCCCUUUUAAUUUCAUUACUCCAAGUGUUUUAUCCUUAUUUCUGAUUGGUGUAUUUAAUUACUUUUUUUUUCCACCCCCUGCUGGUGAGAAAUUUUUCAGUGUUACGAGAGGACCACAUGGCAGUCUGACGUGAUCCUACUUUCCAAUCGAAUUUAGACAUGUAGAUUUUCUUCACGAAAAAUUAUUUCAACUAUUUUGUCAAAGACCAUUGUAGGUUUUCUGUUGUUUUUUUAAUACUAAACCCUAAGCCCUAAACCCCAAACCCUAAACCCUAUACCCUAAACCCUAAACCUUAUACCCUAAACUCUAACCCUAAACUUUAAACCAUAUACCCUAGACCCUAGUUUGAACUUGCUAAAUACCCAUGAAUGUCAUUUCACAAAAAAUAUAAAAUAUUUGUUUAUAUUUUAGUUGUAAAAAAUCCACAUGUCUAAAUUUGAUUGGAACGUAGGACCACGUCAGACUACUACGUGGUCCUCCCGUAACAUUUAAAAAUUUCUCUCUGCUGGUCCUUACGAGAAAUUUUUCAGUGCUACGGGAGAACCACUUGGUUUGCCUAAUGGUUCUCCCUAGCCAAUAAGAAAUCGCCACGUGGUUAUUUUUUACACAUCGUUGCAUGGUUAAAAUUUACUUCAUUCAACUUAAGUAAAACCAACAAACGUCAUCCAAAAAAAAAAACUCAGAUCUCCAUUUGGCAUGCCAUACAUUGAUUUGGCCAUUUGGGGUUGAAGGUCGAUCGAAGAGAGUAAGGGCCAUUCUGGGUUUGGGGUUGAGUUAUUGUGUUUAUCAUUACUUAUUGUGUUGAUCAAAUGAGUGAUAUAUCACAAUCAUUGUCAAAGCUGAAACAUUGUGAAGGUCCUAGAGGGGGGGUGAAUAGGCCCUGACAACUUUUUGCUCUAUCUUGCACACAAGGAUAGCAAAGAUUGUGCUAUCCUGUUUGCCAAUCUUUGCUAUGAGACUAAGUUGUGUAAAUAAAAAUGCAAGUAUUGAGAGUAAAAGAUAUAACACCAGUACGUUUUUUAUACGCAGAAACCCUGCAACCAGAGAGAAAAACUGCGUGCCUCUAACUCUUGAGAGACAAACUAUAUUCCACUAUUGUAAAGACACUUCUUACAAGACUCACAACUCAGAUGAUGGCACAACACCUAACCAUACUGCCUAGUCUAACUACUAACACUCAAUUGAACUUGCUCUCUUGUCACUCAAGUGUUUUACACAUAGCACGAAUCUAAGCUUCUAUGCAGAAUUCAACUAACACAUUUAGCUAAUUCUCAAAGACAGCUUCGCCGGGGUUGUUGCAUCACCUAGAUAGAUCUCAAGGUAUGCAAAUGCACAAUGAUAUGAGUUUGAAAAGGUUUUGGUGCUCAGCUCUAAGAUUGACAAUCACAGGGAAGACUUAGAGAUAAAUGAGCAGUUAGCAAAAUACUAAACUCAAUGGAAGACAACAAACAAGACUAUUUUCAACAACCAAAGAGCAAGAGAGGUGUUACUCUCUAUUUAUAGGCAAAGUGUACCGCUAUGAGGAAGCAAGCAUGUUAGCCACAUCAACAAGGUUCUUUUGGACUCUAGUUGCUUGUCUGAAAUACUAGGACAGAUAAGACCCUAGGGAUCCCUCCACUCACAAGACAAAAGCUGAGAAUAGACUUUCCUAGGAAAGACUAAAGCCAAAAGGAUAAGACAAAUGGUUUUGGGAAAACUAGAUCAGAUUUAGUCAAGCAUAAAGACUCUACAAAACCACUUUACCUAAGAGGACACUUAAGACAGCUGAUAGGUUGGGCGGUGCAUCACAUGGGCAGUUGCUGACUUGGUUUGUGUAUCAUAAAACCCAGCUGGUCACCAAAGGCUCAAGUUAUGUGGUCACGGGUUGGUUUGCCACACCACCCUAGACUAACUUCGAGCUCAAGUAUGAAUAGACUAAUGGUUUGCUAAAAGGUAUUUAAAAUUCAAACACUUAAAAACUGAAACAAAUACAUUUGAAUAUGCACAUGGUCAGACCCAGUAGAUAGAAUAGAUACAACAGGGGUAUCCGUCUAAUCGGGAUGACAAGCACGACUGCCAUCUUAGUGAAUGAAUGUGAAACUCCAAUAGUUCAUUGUGAUCUCAAGCCGAGCAAUGUUCUUUUGGACCAUGACUUGACUGGAUAUGUUGCUGAUUUUGGAUUAGCUAGAAUCCUCUCAAGACUAGUUGAUAAUGUUUCAGCAAAUCAAUCAAGUUCUAUUGGAAUAAGAGGGACUGUUGGUUAUGCUGCUCCAGGUAUGUACUUAUAUGCUAUUUUGUACUACUGUUUUUCUAGUAUCUAGCUUGGUUGUUACAAUAAUGAGAGUUGUUUUUGCUAACAACCAGUGAUGUUGAACCGCAGAGUAUGGAAUGGGAAGUGACGUUUCAACAUAUGGAGAUGUCUACAGCUUCGGCAUUCUCUUGUUAGAGAUGUUUACCGGGAAGAGACCGACUGACCACAUAUUCGUGGACAGUUUGAACCUUCACAAGUGUGUGAAGGUGGCCAUUGGGGAACGAGUUUCAGAGAUUGCAAACUCAACACUUGUUCAAGAAGACAAUCCGAGGCAGAGCACCAAUGAUGCUCAUGAAGAAUGGUUGAGUUCAAUAUUAGGUAUUGGAAUUGCAUGCUCUGUGGAAUCCUCAAAAGACCGAAAGAAUAUCGGUGAUGUUGUGUCUGCACUAAAAAAGAUUCGAGCAACUCUUAUUAGAUAGAAACUUUGUUAUUGUUUUGUUAUGGCUUUCACUGCCUGUCAUGCUUUUAUGUGUUGCGUGCUUUAAUUUUCAUGUUUUGUUGCUACUAUAUGCCUGAAUAAAGUUAUGUAUACAUUAUGUUUAGUUCUCUAUUUCUCUAGCUGUAUCCUAAUUCCUGUACCGUUUCAAGUUUGGUUGUUUGCUUUUAUCUUCCUUUAGCUUUAGUUCAAUUUCUAGGCCACUGAUUCAAAUGAAUAAUGCAAUAAGAAUAGCUUAUAUGAGGCACUGAAUAAUGCCUAAAUCUAAAACAGCUAAUGAGCUACAAUAUCAGUGUGUGAAAGAU